UACGAAGGGUGCAAACGUUGCUCGGAAUUAUUGGGCGUAAAGCGCACGUAGGCGGCUUAGCAAGUCGGAAGUGAAAGCCCUCGGCUCAACCAAGGAAGUGCUUUCGAAACUGCUGAGCUUGAGUACUUAAGAGGAUCGCGGAAUUCCCGGUGUAGAGGUGAAAUUCGUAGAUAUCGGGGAGGAACACCAGGUGGCGAAGGCGGCGAUCUGGGAAGAUACUGACGCGUGAGGUGCGAAAGC
RNAcentral lists this ribosomal RNA (240 nucleotides) under uncultured bacterium. RNAcentral's name for it is "partial 16S ribosomal RNA". It matches the Rfam family "Bacterial small subunit ribosomal RNA", at positions 524 to 760 of the family's 1533-position model. The record is from RNAcentral.